Molecule: ribosomal RNA, 468 nt
Filed under: uncultured bacterium
Lineage: Bacteria
Description: partial 16S ribosomal RNA
Rfam family: Bacterial small subunit ribosomal RNA
Source: RNAcentral
GACGAACGCUGGCGGCGUGCUUAACACAUGCAAGUCGAACGGAAAGGCCCUGCUUUUGUGGGGUGCUCGAGUGGCGAACGGGUGAGUAACACGUGAGUAACCUGCCCUUGACUUUGGGAUAACUUCAGGAAACUGGGGCUAAUACCGGAUAGGAGCUCCUGCUGCAUGGUGGGGGUUGGAAAGUUUCGGCGGUUGGGGAUGGACUCGCGGCUUAUCAGCUUGUUGGUGGGGUAGUGGCUUACCAAGGCUUUGACGGGUAGCCGGCCUGAGAGGGUGACCGGCCACAUUGGGACUGAGAUACGGCCCAGACCCCUACGGGAGGCAGCAGUGGGGAAUAUUGCACAAUGGGCGGAAGCCUGAUGCAGCAACGCCGCGUGCGGGAUGACGGCCUUCGGGUUGUAAACCGCUUUCGCCUGUGACGAAGCGUGAGUGACGGUAAUGGGUAAAGAAGCACCGGCUAACUACGCG